AUUGAACGCUGGCGGAAUGCUUUACACAUGCAAGUCGAACGGCAGCACGGGGGCAACCCUGGUGGCGAGUGGCGAACGGGUGAGUAAUACAUCGGAACGUGCCCAGUCGUGGGGGAUAACGUAGCGAAAGUUACGCUAAUACCGCAUACGAUCUACGGACGAAAGCGGGGGACCGUAAGGCCUCGCGCGAUUGGAGCGGCCGAUGUCAGGUUAGGUAGUUGGAGAGGUAAAGGCUCACCAAGCCGACGAUCUGUAGCUGGUCUGAGAGGACGAACAGCCACACUGGGACUGGGACACGGCCGAGACUCCAACGGGAGGCAGAAGUGGGGAAUUGGGGACAAUGGGACAAAGCCUGAUCCAGCCAUGCCGCGGUCAGGACGUAGGCGUUCGGGUAGUAAUCUGCUUUUGUACGGAACGAAAAGGCUCGGGUUAAUACCUGGGGCUCAUGACGGUACCGUAGGAAUAAGCACCGGCUAACUACGUGCCAGCCGCCGCCGUAA
RNAcentral lists this ribosomal RNA (500 nucleotides) under uncultured bacterium. RNAcentral describes it as "partial 16S ribosomal RNA". It matches the Rfam family "Bacterial small subunit ribosomal RNA", at positions 29 to 523 of the family's 1533-position model. The record is from RNAcentral.